Long non-coding RNA from Quercus lobata, 1956 nucleotides. RefSeq lists it as uncharacterized. Lineage: Eukaryota; Viridiplantae; Streptophyta; Magnoliopsida; Fagales; Fagaceae. The transcript has 11 exons. The record is from RefSeq and is a predicted model, not a curated record.
UUUUAGCUUUGAAAAACAGAGAGAGAGAGAGAGAGAGAGAGAGAGAGGUAUCAGCAACUAAGAGAAAACCUCUAUUAAUCAAUUUAAUGUUUAAUUCUAAUUCCAAUUCUGGGGGUUCGGUUUAUUUUAGUAUAGAAUUCUUCUUGGCUUCUUGUGAUUGCUAUUCACUUCCAUCACAACAAAUCCAUUGUGGGAUGUUAAGACCAGACUCCAGAUUAUGAAUAAUAUUUUGACCUGCCCCCCUCCGGUGAGUUCAAUGCCAUACAAUAAUUAAGUUUUGUUGAGUGAUUUGGUUUAGAAUGACAUACACAGCGAUUAACAAUUUCUACUUAACCGAUGAGCAUCUAAAGAACUCACCUUCUAGGAAAGAUGGUAUUGAUGAAGAUACUGAAACUACCUUACGAAUCUAUGGCUGUGAUCUCAUCCAAGAAGGGAAUGAGGCUGGAUGUAAUUCCUUAAAAAGAUACGCUUUCUGCAUUGACAAGGAUAGCACAUGAGGAAGGCAUUCGAGCAUUGUACAUGAAAAGGAGGCUGGAUGAGAUAAGAUUUCAGCAAUACAGCCGAACCUUUGUUCAAUCAUGGAUCCUACAAGGGAAUCUUCUCGCUGUUACAACAGCAGACAACGUAUUCAAGAUACUUGCAAAUGCUGCUGGUCUCAGAUCUUUAAGACCCAUUGAACCCCCCAUCUUUUGAUGCAUUGAGAUCGCCCAUUGAAUCGGCUGCAGCCAAGGUAGCUGGCUCUCCUGCCAUCACAAAUGAUAAUCCAGUCAAUUGCAAAGUGGAAAGGAGCUCUCCUGUCAGGCCUUCUCCAAUUAUUAAUGGAGUUGAUCCAAAUGGUAGAAGCAUGGAAAAGCCAAAAACCAAGGAGGAUGUAACUGAUAGAACCAAACCUUGGCAGUUGUCUGAAAUUGUGGAUGCUGUCCAGUUCCGAUUAGUUACCAUGCCUGAAGGCACAGAUUCUUCCAGCAAGGUUGUUCGACUUCUAUAUGCAAAUUCUGGCAUUUGGGUCAGAUGGUGUUCAGAAGCUGUGGAAAUGGGCAGGGAACGAACGAAAUCCAAAUGGAAAGGCCACUGCCAAUAUUGUUCCUCAACACUGGCAACCAAACAGUGGUCUUCUUAUGGCUAAUGAUGUCUCAGGUGUCAUCCUUGAAGAAUCAGUACCAUGUAUAGCACUAUCAAAAAAUGACUCAUGUGAUGUCAGCCUGUGGUGAAAAGGUUUCAUUAUUUAAUAUGAUGACAUUCAAGGUAAUGACAACAUUUAUGCCGGCACCCCCUGCUUCUACCUUCCUAGCAUUUCAUCCUCAAGACAAUAACACACAUCAUAGCUAUUGGAAUGGAGGAUUCAGUUAUACACAUAUAAUGUUAGAGUUGAUAAGGUAAAAUCAAAACUGAAGGGACACCAUAAGCGAAUAACUGGUUUAGCUUUUUCAAUGAAUCUUAAUAUCCUGGUUUCGUCAGGGGCUGAUGCUCAAGUAAGUGGCAUAUGUGGUUCUUUUGCUAUUUAAUACUAUUACAAUACAAUAAUAAUUGUCAAAAAAUUGUAAAGAAGUAAGAUCCUUUUGGUAACAUAAGGAUGUUACUUCUUUAAAAUCUGCUUAAAAUUAGUAGGAUUUUUUAAGGUGUUGAAUGUCCUCAGCAUGUUAUUAAACAGUCUUUUAUGAGAUCUGUGUAUGACUGAAUUACCAUUAUAUGCGGUAUAGCUUCCUCAUCUUGUUUUAGACCUUUUGAAUUUCAGGUUGUCAUUCUUUAGGAGUGUUUUGUAUAUUGGAACUAUCUUUUCUUUUGAAUAAAGAUUCUUUUACUUACGUUAGGAAAAAAAUCAUCAUAGGCUUUUUACAUGAAUUAUGCUCCUAUCUUGAGACUUAGAUGCCAAAAAUUGAUAUUUUAUUAUAAACCUUAGAGCUUUACUUUCAGUGCUUUUGGGUCUUAGAAUGUAACACUAAAAAUAUAUAUAUU